Molecule: small RNA, 27 nt
Filed under: Bombyx mori (domestic silkworm)
Lineage: Eukaryota; Metazoa; Arthropoda; Insecta; Lepidoptera; Bombycidae
Description: ovarian small RNA-29793
Source: RNAcentral
UCUCGUCCUUGUGAGAGACUUGCUUGA